GAUGAACGCUGGCGGCGUGCUUAACACAUGCAAGUCGAACGGAAAGGCCCUGCUCUUGCGGGGCGCUCGAGUGGCGAACGGGUGAGUAACACGCGAGUAACCCGCCCCUGACUUUGGGAUAACUCCAGGAAACUGGGGCUAUUAUCGGAGAGGAGCUCUUGCUGCACGGUGGGGGAUGGAAAGUUUCGGCGGUUGGGUAUGGUCUCGCGGCUUAUCAGCUUGUUGGUGGGGUAGUGGAUUACCAAGGCUUCGACGGGUAGCCGGCCUGGGAGGGAGACCGGCCACAUAGUGCUAGGGGUGGGACCAGACUCCUACGGGAGGCAGCAGUGGGGAGUAUUGCGCAGUGGGCGGGAGCCUGAUACGACGGCGCCGCGUGCGGGAUGACGGCCUUCGGGUUAUGAACCGCUUUCGCCUGUGACGAAGCGUGAGUGACGGUAAUGGGUAAAAAAGCACCGGCUAACUACGUG
Molecule: ribosomal RNA, 467 nt
Filed under: uncultured bacterium
Lineage: Bacteria
Description: partial 16S ribosomal RNA
Rfam family: Bacterial small subunit ribosomal RNA
Source: RNAcentral